GCAUGGGUUUGGAUUUAUGGCAGGCCCAUCCCCCUGGGUCUCUCACAGUGUCUCAUGCCAGAGCAACUGUGGCCCUGAACCAUUGCCUGGCUUCUGCCUGUAGGCUGCUGGCAAUGAAGUGGGUUGCACAGUA
Molecule: small nucleolar RNA, 133 nt
Filed under: Marmota marmota marmota (Alpine marmot)
Lineage: Eukaryota; Metazoa; Chordata; Mammalia; Rodentia; Sciuridae
Also listed under: 1 other name
Description: Small nucleolar RNA SNORA42/SNORA80 family (ENSMMMG00000016647.1)
Rfam family: Small nucleolar RNA SNORA42/SNORA80 family
About the family: The members of this family belong to the H/ACA class of snoRNAs that guide the sites of modification of uridines to pseudouridines. Human ACA42 (SNORA42) was cloned from HeLa cells by immunoprecipitation with anti-GAR1 antibody. Its is predicted to guide the pseudouridylation of residues U109 and U572 of 18S rRNA.
Source: Rfam by way of RNAcentral